GACGAACGCUGGCGGCGUGCUUAACACAUGCAAGUCGAACGGAAAGGCCCUGCUUUUGUUGGGUGCUCGAGUGGCGAACGGGUGAGUAACACGUGAGUAACCUGCCCUUGACUUUGGGAUAACUUCAGGAAACUGCGGCUAAUACCUGCUAGGAGCUCCUGCUGCAUGGUGGGGGUUGGAAAGUUUCGGCGGGUGGGGAUUGACUCGCGGCUUAUCAGCUUGUUGGUGGGGUAGUGGCUUACCAAGGCUUUGAAGGGUAGCCGGCCUGAGAGGGUGACCGGCCACAUUGGGACUGAGAGACGGACCAGAGUCCUACGGGAGGCAGCAGUGGGGAAUAUGGCACAAUGGGCGGAAGCCUGAUGCAGCAACGCCGGGUGCGGGAUGAGGGCCUUCGGGGUGUAAACCGCUUUCGCCUGUGACGAAGCGUGAGUGACGGUAAUGGGUAAAGAAGCACCGGCUAACUACGUG
Molecule: ribosomal RNA, 468 nt
Filed under: uncultured bacterium
Lineage: Bacteria
Description: partial 16S ribosomal RNA
Rfam family: Bacterial small subunit ribosomal RNA
Source: RNAcentral